ACUAAUUAAAUUAAAAAAAAUUCGUAUUUCACUUGUUUAUCCUUGAUAAGAGGGAGAUUUAUAAAACUACCAUUUUUUUACUACCAUUUUGCUACAAUACCCUUUUAUUUUGUCCAUUUAUAAAAAUACCCCUUCCCUUGAACAAAAUGACCAAAUUACCCUCAUCUAAUAGAAACAUGUAAUUGGAAACUGAACUUUUCCCGCCAAUUUUUUUCCGCCAAACUUUUUUCCCGACAAAAAAAAAAAAUCCCGCCAAAAAAAAAAUUUCCCGCCAAAUUUGUUUUUCGAAACAAAUUUUUCCUCAGCCAAAAAAAUGAUUUUUAAAAUCUUUGUAAAUAUUUUUUGGCGGCAAAUAGAUUUACAAGAGAUUUUAAAAGAGUUUUAAAAGAUUUACAAGAGAUUUUAAAAAGGUUUUAAAAGAUUUUAAAAAGAUUUUAAAAGAGUUUGAAAAGAUUUACCAGGGAUUUUAAAAGGGUUUUAAAAAAUUUACAAGUAAUUUUAAAAGGUUUUUAAAUCCCUUGUAAAUCUUUCAAAACACUUUUAAACUGUUUAAAAAUCUUUACAAAUCCUUUGUAAAUCUUUUAAAGCCCUUUAAAAUCCCUUGCAAAUAUUGUAAAACCCUUUUAAAAUUCCUUGUAAAUAUUAUAAAAUUCUUUUAAAACAAUUUUAAACCCUUUAAAAAUCUUUAAAAGACCUUUGUAAAUCUUUUAAAUCCCUUUAAAAUCUAUUGUAAAUCUUUUAAAACCCUUUUAAAAUCCCUUGUAAAUCUUUUAAAAACCUUUUAAAAUCUCUUGUAAAUCACCCUUUUAAAAUCCCUUGUAAAUCUUAUAAAACCCUUUUAAAAUCCCUUGUAAAUCUUUUAAAACUCUUUUAAAAUCCCUUGUAAAUCUAUUUCCCGCCAAAAAAAAAAGUUGGGGGGAAAAAUAUUUUUGAAAACAAAAUUUGGCGGGAAAUUGUUUUUCAAAAAUAUUUGGCGGGAAAAUUUUGGCCGGAAAUUUAUUUUGGAAUAUUUUUGGCAAAAAAAU
RNAcentral lists this small RNA (1025 nucleotides) under Arabidopsis thaliana (thale cress). Its description in RNAcentral is "ATSL040950". Lineage: Eukaryota; Viridiplantae; Streptophyta; Magnoliopsida; Brassicales; Brassicaceae. The record is from RNAcentral.